GAUGAACGCUGGCGGCGUGCCUAAUACAUGCAAGUCGAGCGAACGGACGAGAAGCUUGCUUUUCUGAUGUUAGCGGCGGACGGGUGAGGAACACGUGGAGAACCUACCUAUAAGACUGGGAUAACUUCGGGAAACCGGAACUAAUACCGGAUAAUAUUUUGAACCGCAUGGUUCAAAAGUGAAAGACGGUCUUGCUGUCACUUAUAGAUGGAUCCGCGCUGUAUUAGCUAGUUGGUAAGGUAACGGCUUACCAAGGCAACGAUGCAUAGCCGACCUGAGAGGGUGCAGGGGCACACUGGAACUGAGACACGGCACAGACUCCUACGGGAGGCAGCAGUAGCGAAUCUUGCGAACUGGGCGAAAGCCUGACGGAGCAGCGCCGCGUGCGUGAUGCAGCUCUUCGGAUCGUAUGACUCUGUUAUUAGGGAAGAACAUAUGUGUAAGUAACUAUGCACAUCUUGACGGUACCUAAUCAGAAAGCCACGGCUAACUACGUG
This 497-nucleotide ribosomal RNA is filed under the name uncultured bacterium. RNAcentral's name for it is "partial 16S ribosomal RNA". It matches the Rfam family "Bacterial small subunit ribosomal RNA", at positions 28 to 507 of the family's 1533-position model. The record is from RNAcentral.